Molecule: unclassified non-coding RNA, 331 nt
Filed under: soil metagenome
Description: partial contains 5.8S ribosomal RNA, internal transcribed spacer 2, and large subunit ribosomal RNA
Rfam family: 5.8S ribosomal RNA (bases 3-119)
Source: RNAcentral
GAGAAGAACGCAGCGAAAUGCGAUAAGUAGUGUGAAUUGCAGAAUUCAGUGAAUCAUCGAAUCUUUGAACGCACAUUGCGCCCUUUGGUAUUCCUUAGGGCAUGCCUGUUCGAGCGUCAUUUAAACCUUCAAGCUAAGCUUGGUGUUGGGUGACUGUCCGCUUCACUGCGGACUCGCCUCAAAAUUAUUGGCGGCCGGUACAUUGGCUUCGAGCGCAGCAGAAACGCGAACUCGGGCCCGUCGUAUUGGCUCCCAGAAGCUAUCUUCACAAUUUUGACCUCGGAUCAGGUAGGGAUACCCGCUGAACUUAAGCAUAUCAAUAAGCGGAGGA